GACGAACGCUGGCGGCGUGCUUAACACAUGCAAGUCGAACGGUGAACUCCGCUUGCGGGGGGAUCAGUGGCGAACGGGUGAGUAACACGUGGGCAACCUGCCCUCAGCUCUGGGAUAACUCCAAGAAAUUGGGGCUAAUACCGGAUAUGACCGCUGACCGCAUGGUCUGGUGGUGGAAAGAUUUAUCGGCUGGGGAUGGGCCCGCGGCCUAUCAGCUUGUUGGUGGGGUAGUGGCCUACCAAGGCGACGACGGGUAGCCGGCCUGAGAGGGUGACCGGCCACACUGGGACUGGGACACGGCCCAGACUCCUACGGGAGGCAGCAGUGGGGAAUAUUGCGCAAUGGGCGAAAGCCUGACGCAGCGACGCCGCGUGGGGGAUGACGGCCUUCGGGUUGUAAACCUCUUUCAGCAGGGACGAAGCGAAAGUGACGGUACCUGCAGAAGAAGCACCGGCCAACUACGUG
Molecule: ribosomal RNA, 465 nt
Filed under: uncultured bacterium
Lineage: Bacteria
Description: partial 16S ribosomal RNA
Rfam family: Bacterial small subunit ribosomal RNA
Source: RNAcentral